RNAcentral lists this long non-coding RNA (1004 nucleotides) under Numida meleagris (helmeted guineafowl). RNAcentral describes it as "lncRNA (ENSNMEG00000001707.1)". Lineage: Eukaryota; Metazoa; Chordata; Aves; Galliformes; Numididae. The record is from RNAcentral.
CUAGCCUUCCCCCAAUUGCUGCCACUUCCACACACCUUUUUUAUGUCUUAAAAUCCUAUUUUGUUAUAUCUCUAACUGUACAACUUCUAAAACAAGUAGUUGAAGUUAUUUUAGAAGUAAUUUUAUUCUCAUGUAGCCUACACAAAGGGAAAUAGGAAAGGAGAGGCUAAUGAAAAAUGGUGUGUAAAUUUCUGAUAAUGUUCAGACGCGUUAAAUAUUCACUUAAGCAUAACCUUUCUGUUUACACUCAUGGAUUCUGUAGUUAAAAAAAAAAAAAAAGCACAUACUGUUGUAUGCAUCCAUUGUUGCUGACUGUCUACCUGAAAGUGCAUCAAAUGCCUCGUCCCAGGAGGCUGUUCUGAAUAGAGUAGAGAGGGAGGGAGGGGCAUGUCAUCAUAGGCAGUUCAGAGCUCUGGAAUGACACCAUGGUCCCUUGAGACUAGAGUACUGACAUCCAACACAAGUCCUUGUUUUUCUGCAAGGCUUUUUGUUAGACAACAGGCAGCACUCUAUGAAGAUUGAUACAGAAGUGUUGGGCUUCGUUUGCUGGAUCAUCAAACGGAUUGAUAUUAUACUCCAGCAGUGGAUGAAGACAAAUGCCAGAUGCAUGCGAUGUGAAUUCUGUAUGCCUGUAGCAAAGAGCAGAGGUGCCCUGCACUCUUUUCUUCUAGAUGGCACUCAGAUCCAGAGUGGUUACAGAGCAGUCAGAGCCAAAGCAGCAGAAAGAUCAUUAGAGAGGAUGGAGCUGGAAUGGCAGAGAGAAGAAAAUGAGGACAAAAUACUUCUGCAGCUUGCCAUCACAGGUUGGUAAUGAAAUAUCCAACAGAAGCUGAAGGAAGGCAUUGUUCUAAUUACAAAAUGGAAGUAUACCUCCAAAAGAGAAACUGACUUCUAAAAAAAAUAGUCUGUCCUAAACUUUGGACAUAGUGCGAUAUCCAUGUGACACAUUGUUAAUGCGUGAGAAGCAAUACUGUUAUUUACAAAUAAAUUCAAAUGAGGCAUCA